CUCCUCUGAAAGCUACUGUUUUGUGCAUAAAAAUAUAGCUCCAAAUAAAGAAUGAUGGGCUGCAUGAAAGUAAAUAUGCACUGAAGGAACUAUUAUGCAUCCAAAAGGAUAUUGCUCUAAGUUUCUGAGGUCUAUCAGGAUGCUGCACUGUAAAGGAAAUCUCACCCAUGUAGAGAAAUGCUAGAAUGGGCAACAGAUUUCCUGUCUCCCGUGGUCUUUUCCAGGCCUUUGACCUUCAUUCCUCCUGGAUGUAGCAGCCCAGUGUGCAGCAUUUCACCUCAAUCUGCUCUUGUGCCCCCAGGAAAAAGAUUUGCUGGCCAAGGAUCCAACCCUGCUGUUUUGCAAUACUUUAGGAAGAGCAGUUUAUAACUGCUAAGUAUAACUGUACUCUAGCUAGUCCUGCUCUCUAAGGUAAUGAUACUGAAAUCAACUUGAGAACAAUAAUUUUAACACAAUUGGAAGUAUUAGAAAGCAGGCAUUUUUUAUUAAAGUGCUGGACACCUCUG
This is a long non-coding RNA of Passer domesticus (house sparrow), 506 nucleotides long. RefSeq lists it as uncharacterized. The transcript has 2 exons. The record is from RefSeq and is a predicted model, not a curated record. NCBI's taxonomy places the organism in Eukaryota, Metazoa, Chordata, Aves, Passeriformes, Passeridae.